UACGUAGGGUGCGAGCGUUGUCCGGAAUUAUUGGGCGUAAAGAGCUCGUAGGCGGUCUGUCGCGUCUGCUGUGAAAACCCGAGGCUCAACCUCGGGCCUGCAGUGGGUACGGGCAGACUAGAGUGCGGUAGGGGAGAAUGGAAUUCCUGGUGUAGCGGUGGAAUGCGCAGAUAUCAGGAGGAACACCGAUGGUGAAGGCAGUUCUCUGGGCCGUAACUGACGCUGAGGAGCGAAAGCGUGGGGAGCGAACAGG
Molecule: ribosomal RNA, 253 nt
Filed under: uncultured bacterium
Lineage: Bacteria
Description: partial 16S ribosomal RNA
Rfam family: Bacterial small subunit ribosomal RNA
Source: RNAcentral